This is a long non-coding RNA of Gadus morhua (Atlantic cod), 375 nucleotides long. RefSeq lists it as uncharacterized. The transcript has 4 exons. Lineage: Eukaryota; Metazoa; Chordata; Actinopteri; Gadiformes; Gadidae. The record is from RefSeq and is a predicted model, not a curated record.
CCCGAGACUCCCGCCGGCACUGAUUUUAAAUACAAGGAAGGCGCGAGAGUCCUCCAAACGAACGAAGCAAGCGGCGCGGCAGAGAGACUACAUUCUUGAGCUGUGAUUCCGCCAGCAGGGGGCGCUAUUUGUCAAGUUUCGACGAACGUAUCAAAGGUACCAAGGCAGUUCACCCUGACCUGACCAGAUGAGAGGGUGAGGAGGUCUAGGGGUCGGACCAGGUGACCUCCAGGAAGAAUUAAAGAGAAGAGUUGGAGCGUGCUGUCCUCGCCAGACCUCCCAGGAGUGGAUUCAUCAACACGGAUCAGACAUUACAGAUCACUAAUCCCACUGGUGUCAGAGGAUGAGGACAUGCAGACCGCACUGAGGAGGAGG